GACUACAGCCAUGCCCCCCUGAACACGCCCAAUCCCAUCUGAUCUUGGAAGCUAAGCAGGGUCGGGCCUGAUUAGUAUUUGGAUGGGAGACCACCUACGGAAACCAGGUGCUGUAGGUA
RNAcentral lists this ribosomal RNA (119 nucleotides) under Pteropus alecto (black flying fox). The record is from RNAcentral. Lineage: Eukaryota; Metazoa; Chordata; Mammalia; Chiroptera; Pteropodidae.